CUAGUCUAGUCCUUAUGUUUUUUCAACAAACUAAAACAAAUUUCAAGAAACAUAAAAACAAGUCAAAUAGAAAGAAAAGGGGAUUAAAAAGACCAAACCAUAAAAACAACAAUAAAAAAAAGCCAUACAGCUUUAACUAACUGAGCCGAUUCAAUGGCAACUGAAACAGAACCCAGCAUACCCAGAUCAGGUUAUUCAAUAAACGUCAAGCGGUGGAGAAUGGGCAAGAAA
Molecule: non-coding RNA, 231 nt
Organism: Pelobates cultripes (western spadefoot toad)
Lineage: Eukaryota; Metazoa; Chordata; Amphibia; Anura; Pelobatidae
Source: the annotation of a GenBank genome assembly